GGCGAACGCUGGCGGCGUGCUUAACACAUGCAAGUCGAACGGAAAGGCCCUGCUUUUGUUGGGUGCUCGAUUGGCGAACGGGUGAGUAACACGUGAGUAACCUGCCCUUGACUUUGGGAUAACUUCAGGAAACUGGGGCUAAUACCGGAUAGGAGCUCCUGCUGCAUGGUGGGGGUUGGAAAGUUUCGGCGGUUGGGGAUGGACUCGCGGCUUAUCAGCUUGUUGGUGGGGUAGUGGCUUACCAAGGCUUUGACGGGUAGCCGGCCUGAGAGGGUGACCGGCGACAUUGGGACUGAGAUACGGCGCAGACUGCUACGGGAGGCAGCAGUGGGGAAUAUUGCACAGUGGGCGGAAGCCUGAUGCGGCAACGCCGCGUGCGGGAUGACGGCCUUCGGGUUGUAAACCGCUUUCGCCUGUGACGAAGCGUGAGUGACGGUAAUGGGUAAAGAAGCACCGGCUAACUACGUG
Molecule: ribosomal RNA, 468 nt
Filed under: uncultured bacterium
Lineage: Bacteria
Description: partial 16S ribosomal RNA
Rfam family: Bacterial small subunit ribosomal RNA
Source: RNAcentral